Molecule: unclassified non-coding RNA, 267 nt
Filed under: Hemiboea pseudomagnibracteata
Lineage: Eukaryota; Viridiplantae; Streptophyta; Magnoliopsida; Lamiales; Gesneriaceae
Description: partial external transcribed spacer
Source: RNAcentral
UAGCAUUCCAUGUAGACUCUUGGCACUGCAUGGUCGAAACCAAAACAACACCAAUUGUCGUUCACACAUGGCGUGGGACGCCUCUUAGGGGCAAAUAGAGACCGAUGAUGCCUCGUACCCGCGAGGUAUUCAAAUGACCGUGAGAACGAACGUCAUGCCACCCAUCCAACAACCCAAGAACAUCGAAGAAAUCGGGGGUUGGAUCUUGGCAUUUGCUUCGAAGUUCACCUCGUACCGCUAGUAGCAACUUAAGGCGAAAGGGGCAUC